CUCAAGUACAUGCUGCUCUGCAGAUCAUUGCUCAACGCCCCUGAGGACGUGCAGGCGCUGGUGAGCGGCAAGCUGGCGCUGCGCUACGCAGGGAGGCAGACAGAGGCACUGAAGUGUGUGGCGCAGGCCAGCAAGA
Non-coding RNA from Meleagris gallopavo (turkey), 136 nucleotides. The record is from RefSeq and is a predicted model, not a curated record. NCBI's taxonomy places the organism in Eukaryota, Metazoa, Chordata, Aves, Galliformes, Phasianidae.